CAAUCCUGCUUACUAGCCCUGCAAUUGUACUUGUACGUACCCGUUAAGAUAGGAUGAAACUCGUCACGACGGGCAGCGGGGUACUUUACCCCCUCUUCGGUUUGCCACGGCACUCCACAGUGUUCAGCCAACCUUAGAAAAGGUACACCUAAUGUUAAUGUGUACACAUUGUUUACGUCGAACCGAUUUCAACUGGCCAGGCAGAGCUAAGUUAUGGGCUAGGCAUCAGACCAGCGAUAUCGUCGUUCUCGUGAAUUCGACAUACAGUCUGUUCACCAUAAGGCCUCAAAUACAAUCGAAAGCGAGAUCCUUUAAUAGCCGAGACAGUGGCAAGCGACGUACUCUGCCGAGCUUCCGCUUCCCAACUUCCUUCAACAUCGUCGUAGUUUGGAUUGUUUUGGAAACGAGGAAAAAGGCUUUUACUAGGCUACAAAGGGCAAAAACGAGCGGAUAAAUCAUUGUGAAAUAUAAGUGCAUGCUCUAUUUGGCCUAUGGUACGCUGCGCCGUAUGAUACGUUUGUUCCUUUUGAGAAACCCGCACCCAGGCUCAUAUCGACAACGUAUAUGGCUAUCAGCAACGCUGGAACAAUGCUCGUUCAGGCAAAAUAUUGUACGUAGCAUGUCACUAGUUAAUCAAUUGCCUAUACUGAUCGUAUAUUAUCGAGCGCAAGUUCAGCGAUUUAUGCUGCCUGGUCGGACAUUUGUUAGCGCUUCUUUCAUAGACAAUUUUUUGAAAUACUUGUUUUACCUAACAGCAUAACAGUACUGAAAAGCGUGACAAAACAACAUAGAAAAUCGCUAAAUCGGAAAGCAAAUUAGUCACUAUGCUUCACCGGA
Molecule: long non-coding RNA, 837 nt
Organism: Varroa destructor (honeybee mite)
Lineage: Eukaryota; Metazoa; Arthropoda; Arachnida; Mesostigmata; Varroidae
Source: RefSeq, a predicted model, not a curated record